RNAcentral lists this ribosomal RNA (1330 nucleotides) under Mycolicibacterium neoaurum. RNAcentral's name for it is "bacterial SSU rRNA". It matches the Rfam family "Bacterial small subunit ribosomal RNA", at positions 96 to 1430 of the family's 1533-position model. The record is from RNAcentral. Lineage: Bacteria; Bacillati; Actinomycetota; Actinomycetes; Mycobacteriales; Mycobacteriaceae.
UGGCGAACGGGUGAGUAACACGUGGGUGAUCUGCCCUGCACUUCGGGAUAAGCCUGGGAAACUGGGUCUAAUACCGGAUAUGACCACAUGAUGCAUGUCGUGUGGUGGAAAGCUUUUGCGGUGUGGGAUGGGCCCGCGGCCUAUCAGCUUGUUGGUGGGGUCACGGCCUACCAAGGCGACGACGGGUAGCCGGCCUGAGAGGGUGACCGGCCACACUGGGACUGAGAUACGGCCCAGACUCCUACGGGAGGCAGCAGUGGGGAAUAUUGCACAAUGGGCGCAAGCCUGAUGCAGCGACGCCGCGUGAGGGACGACGGCCUUCGGGUUGUAAACCUCUUUCAGCACAGACGAAGCGCAAGUGACGGUAUGUGCAGAAGAAGGACCGGCCAACUACGUGCCAGCAGCCGCGGUAAUACGUAGGGUCCGAGCGUUGUCCGGAAUUACUGGGCGUAAAGAGCUUCGUAGGUGGUUUGUCGCGUUGUUCGUGAAAACUCACCAGCUCAAACCUGUGGGCGUGCGGGGCGAUACGGGCAGACUAGAGUACUGCAGGGGAGACUGGAAUUCCUGGUGUAGCCGGUGGAAUGCGCAGAUAUCAGGAGGAACACCGGUGGCGAAGGCGGGUCUCUGGGCAGUAACUGACGCUGAGGAGCGAAAGCGUGGGGAGCGAACAGGAUUAGAUACCCUGGUAGUCCACGCCGUAAACGGUGGGUACUAGGUGUGGGUUUCCUUCCUUGGGAUCCGUGCCGUAGCUAACGCAUUAAGUACCCCGCCUGGGGAGUACGGCCGCAAGGCUAAAACUCAAAGAAAUUGACGGGGGCCCGCACAAGCGGCGGAGCAUGUGGAUUAAUUCGAUGCAACGCGAAGAACCUUACCUGGGUUUGACAUGCACAGGACGCUGGUAGAGAUAUCAGUUCCCUUGUGGCCUGUGUGCAGGUGGUGCAUGGCUUGUCGUCAGCUCGUGGUCGUGAAGAUGUUGGGUUAAGUCCCGCAACGAGCGCAACCCCUAUCUUAUGUUGCCAGCGCGUCAUGGCGGGGACUCGUAAGAGACUGCCGGGGUCAACUCGGAGGAAGGUGGGGAUGACGUCAAGUCAUCAUGCCCCUUAUGUCCAGGGCUUCACACAUGCUACAAUGGCCGGUACAAAGGGCUGCGAUGCCGUGAGGUGGAGCGAAUCCUUUAAAGCCGGUCUCAGUUCGGAUCGGGGUCUGCAACUCGACCCCGUGAAGUCGGAGUCGCUAGUAAUCGCAGAUCAGCAACGCUGCGGUGAAUACGUUCCCGGGCCUUGUACACACCGCCCGUCACGUCAUGAAAGUCGGUAACACCCGAAGCCGG